AACGAACGCUGGCGGCGUGGAUAAGACAUGCAAGUCGAGCGGGAUUUCUUUUGGUAGCAAUACCGAAGGAAGUCUAGCGGCGAACGGGUGCUUAACACGUGGGCAACCUGCCAAGAAGUGGGGGAUAGCUCGCCGAAAGGCGAAUUAAUACCGCAUGUGAUUAGAGAGGACAUCCUUUCGAAAUUAAAGUCGGGGCAACCUGACGCUUUUUGUGGGGCCCGCGGCCUAUCAGCUAGUUGGUGAGGUAACGGCCCACCAAGGCUUUGACGGGUAGCUGGGCUGAGAGGACGACCAGCCACACUGGGACUGAGACACGGCCCAGACACCUACGGGUGGCAGCAGUCGAGAAUUUUUGACAAUGGGGGAAACCCUGAUCGAGCGACGCCGCGUGGAGGAUGAAGGUCUUCGGAUUGUAAACUCCUGUCAUUGGGGAACAAGGUGCAUACGUUAACUGCGUGUGCAUUGAUAGUACCCGAAGAGGAAGAGACGGCUAACUCUGUGCCAGCAGCCGCCGUAA
Molecule: ribosomal RNA, 517 nt
Filed under: uncultured bacterium
Lineage: Bacteria
Description: partial 16S ribosomal RNA
Rfam family: Bacterial small subunit ribosomal RNA
Source: RNAcentral